GUGCUCACUUUGGAACCACAAAUACUAAAAGUGGAAUUAUACAGAGAUUAGCACGACCCCUGUGCAAGGAUGGCAUGCAAAUUUGUGAAGCAUUCCAAUUUUUU
RNAcentral lists this small nuclear RNA (104 nucleotides) under Carlito syrichta (Philippine tarsier). The record is from RNAcentral. Lineage: Eukaryota; Metazoa; Chordata; Mammalia; Primates; Tarsiidae.